Bos grunniens (domestic yak) is the source of this 84-nucleotide microRNA precursor. Ensembl annotates it as microRNA 30c-2. Its record names the gene MIR30C2. The record is from Ensembl. Lineage: Eukaryota; Metazoa; Chordata; Mammalia; Artiodactyla; Bovidae.
GAGGGCCAGAUACUGUAAACACCCUACACUCUCAGCUGUGCACAGUGAGAAAGCUGGGAGAAGGCUGUUUACUCUCUCUGCCUU